RNAcentral lists this transfer-messenger RNA (353 nucleotides) under bioreactor metagenome. RNAcentral's name for it is "transfer-messenger RNA, SsrA". It matches the Rfam family "transfer-messenger RNA". Rfam says of the family: Bacterial tmRNA, also known as 10Sa RNA or SsrA, is named for its dual tRNA and mRNA-like properties. Its role is to liberate the mRNA from a stalled ribosome. The record is from RNAcentral.
GGGGGCGUACUUGGUUUCGACGGGGGUAUAGAAGGAAGAUAAGCGAGUCGUUGCCGCAAAACAACGUAAAAAGUUGCAACAAAAUAUAAACGCAAAAGAAAACAAUAAUUUAGCAUUCGCUGCUUAAUUGCAGCUGCUUGUUCCGCUUAGCCGGCCUGUAGGCUAAAACGGGGCAUCAUCUAAAUCAGGGAACUGCUUAAGGGGGCUUUGACCUUAGGCUGAACAACCGAAGCUAGCCGAAACUUCAGCUUGACCAUAAGCGGUAGACAAGGCGAAAUUUAAAUUAUGGUCUGCACUCGGAGAAAGUCUUGUGGAAAUAUUUUCGGACGUGGGUUCGACUCCCACCGCCUCCA